AUGAUGAACCCAACCCACGCUGCGCCUUGGUCUCAUUCCAACAACGGACGUUACAGAACUUCCCACCACAAGUGGACCAAGCAGCGUGGAAAAGAGGACUGGACAUGGGAGGACAUCCUGGAUGGCAAGGGAUCCUACACUUGGGAAGAGAUCCUGGCCGGAAGGGAUCGCCUCCCAUGGGAACAGGUGGAGGCACUCAGAAGAGUGGAGGCAGCAGGAGAAAAGGACCAACGGCAACGGUAUAAGGGAACACGGCUGGCAAGGAAGCCCGAGAGGCAGCCCCCCCAAAAAAAUUGGGCGGGGCACACGGGGAGUGUGGUAGAGUCAGGUUGGAGACCUGAGCCAGCUCCCCAUGCUUACCGUGGCAUGCGUUGUACUGGUCAGACACUGUGUUAUGCGGUGGAGCGCACGGUGUCUCCAGUGCGCGGUCACAGCCCGGGACGUUACAUCCCAGCUCCCCGCAAGUGCCGUGCUAGAGUGGGCAUCCAGCCAGGAAGGAGUAUGCCUGCGCAGCACAUCUGGCCACCAGUGCGUCUCCUAGGCCCAGGCUACCCUGCGCCUGCUCUACGCACGGCAGCCAUCAGUCCUCAGCACAGCCCAGUUCGCCCUGUGCCAGCACUACACCCGUGCAGGGCUACAGUUACAACCCAGCCACGACGGGUUGUGCAGGCUGUGCACUCCAGACCUCCAGUACAUCUUCGAGAUCCGGUCUAUCCUGUGCUUGCUCCCAGAGCCAGGCCUCCUGCAUGUCUCCCCAGUCUGGUGAGUCCUGUGCCUGCUCCCAGAGCCAGGCCUCCUGCAUGUCUCCCCAGCCUGGUAAAUCCUGUGCCUGCGCCCAGAGCCAGGCCUACUGCAAGUCCCGCCAGUCCGGAGCCACCAGAGCCGCCCGCCAGUCCGGAGCCGCCAGAGCCGCCCGCCAGUCCGGCGCAGCCAGAGCCGCCCGCCAGUCCGGCGCAGCCAGAGCCGCCCGCCAGUCCGGCGCAGCCAGAGCCGCCCGCCAGUCCGGCGCAGCCAGAGCCGCCCGCCUGUCCGGCGCAGCCAGAGCCGCCCGCCUGUCCGGCGCAGCCAGAGCCGCCCUCCAGUCCGGAGCUCCCAGAGUCGCCCUCCAGUCCGGAGCUCCCAGAGUCGCCCUCCAGUCUGGGAUCCACAGCGAGGGUCCUCAGUCCGGGGUCGGCGGUGAGGGACCCCGAUUUAGAGGCGCCACCAAAGUGGGGUGAGCCAGUGGUGGAGUGGGGUCUGCGUCUCGCCCCUGAGCCGCCACCGCGGAUAGAUGCCCACCCGAACCCUCCGCUAUAG
RNAcentral lists this long non-coding RNA (1296 nucleotides) under Salmo trutta (river trout). RNAcentral describes it as "lncRNA (ENSSTUG00000046774.1)". The record is from RNAcentral. Lineage: Eukaryota; Metazoa; Chordata; Actinopteri; Salmoniformes; Salmonidae.